GCUUCUAUCUGUAUUAUUUAGGAGCUAUUAUGGAGUCUGUGGGGGGUACUCAGGCUUAGAAUUAGCUGCAUGUGGGGGUGCAUCUCAGGCCUGUACAUUACUAACAGCAUGACACUGAGGGAAGUAUUUCUAUCAGUCAGAGUCCUGAAGGGAAAGAGAUGGUAUUCUAAUUUAGGUCACUGGGAAGAUUUUACUAUUUACAAAGGUGUCUUCAGUGUUUGAGGGGAAAAAAAAAGUCAGCAUGGGGCACUACUGUAUGUCAGGGACGGCUAUGGGGCUAAAAGAGAGAAAUUAUGCAUGGAGCUUGGCACGUAGUAGGGUUGCCCUGGUUCCUCCGCUACACCUGACAACUCAAAGGCUCCAGAGAGCCAAUUCAUAUGGUCAGCCUGCAAAAGAGUGCCACCCCAGAUGACAGAUCCUAUAAACCCAAGAAGACCUGCCGAGCUUCCUCCCUCUGAAAAGUUUUUUUUUGUGUGUGUAAGAACCAUGUUGGAAGACCUGGAGCAUGUCACAUCAACUGCCUAGGGAAGAAUUAGUCAUUAAAUUUGCAGACGGUGAUAAGGCAGGCUAGGAAAAAUCAUAUUUUUAAUAGCUUUUCAGAAUGCAAUUGUUUCCUUCACUGGUCUGUGUCUGAAGCUUUGAUGGGUGUUGUUAGUUCCUUCAGGCUUCCUACAGGGGCAUUGCUGCCUGCUGUUAUCUUUGGUUGACUUGCUGUGAGCUGCUUGAGUGUCCACUCCAUGGAGAACUAUAGGGGGAGCAAGAACAAUCAUCUCUCCCGAACCAGGUUGCCAUCCGUUGGCACGUGUUGCCCAGCCUUAUACACAGUGUGAACGUGCCCAUGCCCACCAUGAGCAGCUACCUGUACCUGUGGUGUUUGACAGACUGGUUUCCUCUGUCAGGAGAAGGGACCUCUGGGAAUGACUGGGGGCCGGCAAAACUUGACUCCAUCAUUUUCUCCAAUGCAGUCACAGGAUGCCUUUCCGCCUUUGAGUACUGUGGGAAACCACAUGCACAGAGUUGAGCUGGAGGACGUUAUGAGAGGACGGCCUGUAACACUAUAGCUAGAUAUUGAAAGGUUACUGAACACUUGCCAGUAAUUUGUCCACCGGAUCAGCAGAACAAUAGAGACAUCAUUUGUAACCCAUUUCCCACACACCAAUGGUCUCCAACCUCCCCCCAAACUCUCUCUGCUUAGAUAAGAUCCAUCUAGGACGGUUCUUCACUUUAGAAUUUUAAGUAUAUCUUCUUGUUUCAAUAUAUAUCCAUGGCACACUGUGCCUGACAGGCAAAAACACAAAUGUUUUUUUUUAUUCAAUAGACAUUUUAUGCACACAAGAAAUUAAUCAGUAGCCGAACUACAAAUAGUAGGGAUUCAAUAAAGAAUGAUUGGAUGAACCUCAGAACAUUCUCAGAAUUACAAGGAUAUUGAUUCAGAGUACCUGCCCUUGGCUCUCCACCAUUCCUUCAGCCUUUGCCAAGUAAUUACUGGGUUUAACAAGAGAAAUUUAUGAGCAUUUCACUCUUUAUAGUUAGUAAGCUUUGGUCUCACCUUUGACUAUGAUAUCUUAUGAAGUUCAGGAGCCUUUGGGAAAAUCUAUAGAGAUGACCCCUUAAGAAAACCUUUGCCCCAAGGGAAAUAUCACAGGGCAUCUCAACCAGGCAGCAAGUUGUCAACUUUAAUAUUCCCUGGACACACAGCUCUUGAAGAGGCAGCAAGGGCUAGCAGGUUCCUCUUCCAGAAAUUCCAGAUAAAAAAUACCCUCAGAAAUGACAUUUUUAGGGGCUAGGUGGCUCAGU
Molecule: long non-coding RNA, 1797 nt
Organism: Canis lupus familiaris (dog)
Lineage: Eukaryota; Metazoa; Chordata; Mammalia; Carnivora; Canidae
Exons: 3
Source: RefSeq, a predicted model, not a curated record